RNAcentral lists this ribosomal RNA (425 nucleotides) under uncultured bacterium. RNAcentral's name for it is "bacterial SSU rRNA". It matches the Rfam family "Bacterial small subunit ribosomal RNA", at positions 354 to 796 of the family's 1533-position model. The record is from RNAcentral.
GUGGGGAAUAUUGGACAAUGGGCGCAAGCCUGAUCCAGCAAUGCCGCGUGGGUGAAGAAGGUCUUCGGAUCGUAAAGCCCUUUCGACAGGGACGAUGAUGACGGUACCUGUAGAAGAAGCCCCGGCUAACUUCGUGCCAGCAGCCGCGGUAAUACGAAGGGGGCUAGCGUUACUCGGAAUUACUGGGCGUAAAGGGCGCGUAGGCGGCUCUGUUAGUCAGGCGUGAAAUUCCUGGGCUUAACCUGGGGACUGCGCUUGAUACUGCAGGGCUUGAGGGCGAGAGAGAGUGGUGGAAUGCCCAGUGUAGAGAUGAAAUUCGUAGAUAUUGGGAAGAACACCGGUGGCGAAGGCGACCACCUGGCUCGGUUCUGACGCUGAGGCGCGACAGCGUGGGGAGCAAACAGGAUUAGAAACCCCAGUAGUCC